RNAcentral lists this ribosomal RNA (519 nucleotides) under uncultured bacterium. RNAcentral's name for it is "partial 16S ribosomal RNA". It matches the Rfam family "Bacterial small subunit ribosomal RNA", at positions 28 to 507 of the family's 1533-position model. The record is from RNAcentral.
GACGAACGCUGGCGGCGUGCCUAAUACAUGCAAGUCGAGCGAGUCUGCCUUGAAGAUCGGAGUGCUUGCACUCUGUGAAACAAGAUACAGGCUAGCGGCGGACGGGUGAGUAACACGUGGGUAACCUGCCCAAGAGAUCGGGAUAACACCUGGAAACAGAUGCUAAUUCCGGAUAACAACAGAUGAUGCCUAUCAACUGUUUAAAAGAUGGUUCUGCUAUCACUCUUGUAUGGACCUGGGGUGCAUUAGCUAGUUGGUAGGGUAACGGCCUACCAAGGCGGGGAUGCGUAGCCGAGUUGAGAGACUGAUCGGCCACAUUGGGACUGGGACGCGGCCCAAACUCCUACGGGAGGCAGCAGUAGGGAAUCUUCCACAAUGGACGCAAGUCUGAUGGAGCAACGCCGCGUGAGUGAAGAAGGGUUUCGGCUCGUAAAGCUCUGUUGUUGGUGAAGAAGGACAGGGGUAGUAACUGACCUGUGUUUGACGGUAAUCAAUAAGAAAGUCACGGCUAACUACGUG